RNAcentral lists this ribosomal RNA (1649 nucleotides) under metagenome. RNAcentral's name for it is "bacterial LSU rRNA". It matches the Rfam family "Bacterial large subunit ribosomal RNA", at positions 1315 to 2925 of the family's 2925-position model. The record is from RNAcentral.
UAACGGGUGAAAAACCCGUUCGCCGUAAGCCCAAGGGUUCCUGGGUAAAGUUAAUCUUCCCAGGGUUAGUCGGAUCCUAAGGCGAGGCUGAAAAGCGUAGCUGAUGGUAAGCAGGUUAAUAUUCCUGCACCACCACGGAUAGUUUUCGUAGGAGGGACGGAGAAGGGUAGCUCAUCCCCAUAUUGGAUUAUGGGGUUCACACCCGUAGGAGGUUUCCAUAGGACCCAACAGGGACAAACGUGGGAACACUACUCCGAGAGGUCAUGAGGAGAGCGCUUUGCGCUCACGAACUGAGUGAUCCUAGGCUCCCGAGAAAAGCUCCGACGGAGUUAACUACUGUGGUGUCCGUACCGCAAACCGACUCAGGUGGGCGGGAAGAAUAUUCCAAGGCGCUUGAGAGAACCCAUCCUAAGGAACUCGGCAAAAUUCUACCGUAACUUCGGGAGAAGGUAGGCCGGCGUUUGUUAGAGACCUCGCGUCUCGAAGCGAACGUUGGUUGCAGAGAAUCGGGGGUAGCGACUGUUUACCAAAAACACAGGACUCUGCUAAGUCGGAAGACGACGUAUAGGGUCUGAUGCCUGCCCGGUGCCGGAAGGUUAAGGGGAGUUGUCAGCAGCAAUGCGAAGCAGCGAACCGAAGCCCCGGUAAACGGCGGCCGUAACCAUAACGGUCCUAAGGUAGCGAAAUUCCUUGUCGGGUAAGUUCCGACCUGCACGAAUGGCAUAACGACUUCCCCACUGUCUCGGGAUGGGACUCAGCGAAGUAGCACUAGGGGUGAAGAUACCCUUUACCCGCGGCAAGACGGAAAGACCCCAUGAACCUUUACUGUAACUUGACACUGAACUUCGGGUUUAGCUGCGUAGGAUAGGUGGGAGGCUUUGAACCGGGGUUUUCGGACUCCGGGGAGCAACGUUGAAAUACCACCCUGCUGAUUCUGGUGUUCUAACCCACGCCCGUGACCCGGGCGGGGAACAAUGUCUGGUGGGCAGUUUGACUGGGGCGGUCGCCUCCAAAACAGUAACGGAGGCGCGCGAAGGUCCCCUCAGGCUGAUUGGAAACCAGCCGUAGAGUGUAAUGGCACAAGGGGGCUUGACUGCGAGACUGACAGGUCGAGCAGGUGCGAAAGCAGGUCAUAGUGAUCCGGUGGUACCGAAUGGAAGGGCCAUCGCUCAUCGGAUAAAAGGUACUCUGGGGAUAACAGGCUGAUCACGCCCAAGAGUUCACAUCGACGGCGUGGUUUGGCACCUCGAUGUCGGCUCAUCGCAUCCUGGGGCUGAAGUAGGUCCCAAGGGUUUGGCUGUUCGCCAAUUAAAGCGGUACGCGAGCUGGGUUCAGAACGUCGUGAGACAGUUCGGUCCCUAUCUGCCGUGGGCGCAGGAUUCUUGCGAGGACCUGCCCGUAGUACGAGAGGACCCGGGUGGACGGACCGCUGGUGUUCCGGUUGUCAUGCCAAUGGCAUCGCCGGGUAGCUAUGUCCGGAACAGAUAACCGCUGAAAGCAUCUAAGCGGGAAGCUGACCUCUAGAUCAUGAAUCCCGAGCCGCAAGGCUCCUAAAGACCCCUUGUAGACGACGAGGUUGAUAGGCUGGGUGUGGAAACGCUGUGAGGCGUGGAGCUAACCAGUACUAAUCGGUCGUGCGGCUUGGCCAC